RNAcentral lists this ribosomal RNA (414 nucleotides) under uncultured microorganism. Its description in RNAcentral is "bacterial SSU rRNA". It matches the Rfam family "Archaeal small subunit ribosomal RNA", at positions 330 to 745 of the family's 1478-position model. The record is from RNAcentral.
GCGCAGCAGGCGAGAAACCUCCGCAAUGCGGGAAACCGUGACGGGGUCACCCCGAGUGCCACCCGAUGAGGGUGGCUUUUCCCCGGUCUAAAAAGCCGGGGGCAAUAAGCGGGGGGCAAGUCUGGUGUCAGCCGCCGCGGUAAUACCAGCCCCGCGAGUGGUCGGGACGUUUAUUGGGCCUAAAGCGUCCGUAGCCGGCUCGGUAAGUCCCUCCUUAAAUCCACGGGCUCAACCCGUGGGCUGGGAGGGAUACUGCCGGGCUAGGGGGCGGGAGAGGCCGAGGGUACUCCCGGGGUAGGGGCGAAAUCCGUUAAUCCCGGGAGGACCACCAGUGGCGAAGGCGCUCGGCUGGAACGCGCCCGACGGUGAGGGACGAAAGCUAGGGGAGCAAAGGGGAUUAGAUACCCGCGUAGU